RNAcentral lists this long non-coding RNA (552 nucleotides) under Bos taurus (domestic cattle). RNAcentral's name for it is "long non-coding RNA NONBTAT015342". Lineage: Eukaryota; Metazoa; Chordata; Mammalia; Artiodactyla; Bovidae. The record is from RNAcentral.
UUUGCGUGAUCCUUCUGCACAGUUUAUUAAGGAAACUUCUUAGUCCAAAUCCAAGUCAAAUCAGUUUCAGUUGCAAGUAAAGGAUUUUUCCCCUAAACUGUAAAGAAGAAUGCAGUGUAGGAUAUGGAAUCCCAUUUGCUUCGGAUUGUUGUACUGGGAAGCAAAAUUCCUUAGAGCCCCUAGAGGUAAAAACAAGCUAAGAGCCCCAAGUGGCAGGAAGAACCGUGGGCAAAAAAACGACCCUUUGGGUUCAUUGGAAUAAUAAUAACUCAUGACAUUUCCUGUUCAGUGUUCAGAGUACAAGAACCACUUCCUCCAGCCACCAGAAAUUUGAAGACUUUCCAUGAAAAAUGAGGAAGAAAAACUCUUUAACAUGUUGUGAACGUGAUGGCUGAACCUGGGAGGCGGGAAGAGAACAGGGGUUCUGUCACACAAGUCCUGUCUGCACCACGGCCUCUGCCAGCUCCGUCCUCCUUACUUCCCCCAAAUAGGAAGGGAACCUUUUUUCUGAGGUUCUGACUCUUUAAAAACAUUUGCUCCUCUCUGCAAUGU